This 520-nucleotide ribosomal RNA is filed under the name uncultured Glomus. RNAcentral describes it as "SSU rRNA". It matches the Rfam family "Eukaryotic small subunit ribosomal RNA", at positions 569 to 1094 of the family's 1831-position model. Lineage: Eukaryota; Fungi; Glomeromycota; Glomeromycetes; Glomerales; Glomeraceae. The record is from RNAcentral.
AGCAGCCGCGGUAAUUCCAGCUCCAAUAGCGUAUAUUAAAGUUGUUGCAGUUAAAAAGCUCGUAGUUGAAUUUCGGGACUAAUAUGUCGGUCGUACUUUGUACGUACUAGCAUUAUUGGUUUCUCCCUUCUGACGAACCACGAUGUCAUUAAUUUGGUGUCGUGGGAAAUCAGGACUGUUACUUUGAAAAAUUAGAGUGUUUAAAGCAAGCUCGCGCUUGAAUACAUUAGCAUGGAAUAAUGAAAUAGGACGUUUGAUUCUAUUUUGUUGGUUUCUAGGAUCGACGUAAUGAUUAAUAGGGAUAGUUGGGGGCAUUAGUAUUCAAUUGUCAGAGGUGAAAUUCUUGGAUUUAUUGAAGACUAACUACUGCGAAAGCAUUUGCCAAGGAUGUUUUCAUUAAUCAAGAACGAAAGUUAGGGGAUCGAAGACGAUCAGAUACCGUCGUAGUCUUAACCAUAAACUAUGCCGACUAGGGAUCGGAUGAUGUUAAUUUUUAAUGACUCAUUCGGCGCCUUACGGG